Molecule: ribosomal RNA, 420 nt
Filed under: uncultured eukaryote
Lineage: Eukaryota
Description: SSU rRNA
Rfam family: Eukaryotic small subunit ribosomal RNA
Source: RNAcentral
CAAUAGCGUAUAUUAAAAUUGUUGCGGUUAAAACGCUCGUAGUUGGAUAUCUGCUGAGGGGCUUCGGUCCAUCCGAGUGAUGAAUACGCGGAGCUCUUCUCAGCAUUCGUUCAGGGACCGUGUUUGCACUUUGUUGUGUGUCACAUGAUCUGGAUUUUUACUUUGAGGAAAUGAGAGUGUUUCAAGCAGGCUUUCGCCGUGAAUAUGAUAGCAUGGAAUAAUAGCAUAGGACCCCUUUCCAAAGCUGUUGGUUUUUGGAACGAGGUAAUCAGAAUAAGGAUAGUUGGGGGUAUUCGUAUUUAACUGUCAGAGGUGAAAUUCUUGGAUUUUUUAAAGACGAACUAUUGCGAAGGCAUCUGCCCAGGAUGUUUUUGUUGAUCAAGAACGAAAGUUAGGGGAUCGAAGACGAUCAGAUACCAU